Molecule: long non-coding RNA, 126 nt
Organism: Thalassophryne amazonica
Lineage: Eukaryota; Metazoa; Chordata; Actinopteri; Batrachoidiformes; Batrachoididae
Exons: 3
Source: RefSeq, a predicted model, not a curated record
AUUUGAAACAGUUUGGAACAGAUCCUGAAAUUAAUGACAUAUUGAUAAUUUCCAGCAUAGUCGGCCCAAGAGUGGGGCCACAGGUCUUUAAAAAGUGUUGUUGGUAUUGGGUUGAAUAAGCAAGUU